This 1021-nucleotide ribosomal RNA is filed under the name Enterobacteriaceae bacterium 15. RNAcentral's name for it is "bacterial SSU rRNA". It matches the Rfam family "Bacterial small subunit ribosomal RNA", at positions 87 to 1104 of the family's 1533-position model. The record is from RNAcentral. RNAcentral also lists the same sequence under 1 other name. Lineage: Bacteria; Pseudomonadati; Pseudomonadota; Gammaproteobacteria; Enterobacterales; Enterobacteriaceae.
GGUGACGAGCGGCGGACGGGUGAGUAAUGUCUGGGAAACUGCCUGAUGGAGGGGGAUAACUACUGGAAACGGUAGCUAAUACCGCAUAACGUCGCAAGACCAAAGUGGGGGACCUUCGGGCCUCAUGCCAUCAGAUGUGCCCAGAUGGGAUUAGCUAGUAGGUGGGGUAACGGCUCACCUAGGCGACGAUCCCUAGCUGGUCUGAGAGGAUGACCAGCCACACUGGAACUGAGACACGGUCCAGACUCCUACGGGAGGCAGCAGUGGGGAAUAUUGCACAAUGGGCGCAAGCCUGAUGCAGCCAUGCCGCGUGUGUGAAGAAGGCCUUCGGGUUGUAAAGCACUUUCAGCGGGGAGGAAGGCGUUAAGGUUAAUAACCUUGUUGAUUGACGUUACCCGCAGAAGAAGCACCGGCUAACUCCGUGCCAGCAGCCGCGGUAAUACGGAGGGUGCAAGCGUUAAUCGGAAUUACUGGGCGUAAAGCGCACGCAGGCGGUCUGUCAAGUCGGAUGUGAAAUCCCCGGGCUCAACCUGGGAACUGCAUUCGAAACUGGCAGGCUAGAGUCUUGUAGAGGGGGGUAGAAUUCCAGGUGUAGCGGUGAAAUGCGUAGAGAUCUGGAGGAAUACCGGUGGCGAAGGCGGCCCCCUGGACAAAGACUGACGCUCAGGUGCGAAAGCGUGGGGAGCAAACAGGAUUAGAUACCCUGGUAGUCCACGCCGUAAACGAUGUCGAUUUGGAGGUUGUGCCCUUGAGGCGUGGCUUCCGGAGCUAACGCGUUAAAUCGACCGCCUGGGGAGUACGGCCGCAAGGUUAAAACUCAAAUGAAUUGACGGGGGCCCGCACAAGCGGUGGAGCAUGUGGUUUAAUUCGAUGCAACGCGAAGAACCUUACCUGGUCUUGACAUCCACAGAACUUUCCAGAGAUGGAUUGGUGCCUUCGGGAACUGUGAGACAGGUGCUGCAUGGCUGUCGUCAGCUCGUGUUGUGAAAUGUUGGGUUAAGUCCCGCAACGAGCGCAACCC